AUUACGAGGAAAAGAAACCAACAGGGAUUGCCUCAGUAGCGGCGAGUGAAGCGGCAAAAGCUCAAAUUUGAAAUCUGGCGUCUUUGGCGUCCGAGUUGUAAUUUGAAGAAGGUAUCUUUGGGCCCGGCUCUUGUCUAUGUUCCUUGGAACAGGACGUCACAGAGGGUGAGAAUCCCGUGCGAUGAGAUGACCCGGGUCUGUGUAAAGUUCCUUCGACGAGUCGAGUUGUUUGGGAAUGCAGCUCUAAGUGGGUGGUAAAUUCCAUCUAAAGCUAAAUAUUGGCGAGAGACCGAUAGCGAACAAGUACAGUGAUGGAAAGAUGAAAAGAACUUUGAAAAGAGAGUGAAAAAGUACGUGAAAUUGUUGAAAGGGAAGGGCUUGAGAUCAGACUUGGUAUUUUGCAUGCUGCUCUCUCGGGGGCGGCCGCUGCGGUUUACCGGGCCAGCAUCGGUUUGGAGCGGCAGGAUAAUGGCGGAGGAAUGUGGCACGGCUUCUGCUGUGUGUUAUAG
RNAcentral lists this ribosomal RNA (509 nucleotides) under Candida albicans. RNAcentral's name for it is "LSU rRNA". It matches the Rfam family "Eukaryotic large subunit ribosomal RNA", at positions 45 to 533 of the family's 3401-position model. Lineage: Eukaryota; Fungi; Ascomycota; Pichiomycetes; Serinales; Debaryomycetaceae. The record is from RNAcentral.